AUACGGAGGGUGCAAGCGUUACUCGGAAUCACUGGGCGUAAAGCGCGCGCAGGCGGCUUGAUAAGUUGGAUGUGAAAGCCUACGGCUCAACCGUAGAACUGCAUCCAAAACUGUCAGGCUAGAGUGUGGGAGAGGAAGAUGGAAUUAGUUGUGUAGGGGUAAAAUCCGUAGAGAUAACUAGGAAUACCAAAAGCGAAGGCAAUCUUCUGGAACAGUACUGACGCUGAGGCGCGAAGGCGUGGGGAGCAAACAGGAUUAGAAACCCUAGUAGUCC
This 274-nucleotide ribosomal RNA is filed under the name uncultured bacterium. RNAcentral's name for it is "partial 16S ribosomal RNA". It matches the Rfam family "Bacterial small subunit ribosomal RNA", at positions 523 to 796 of the family's 1533-position model. The record is from RNAcentral.